Non-coding RNA from Cricetulus griseus (Chinese hamster), 2591 nucleotides. The record is from RefSeq and is a predicted model, not a curated record. NCBI's taxonomy places the organism in Eukaryota, Metazoa, Chordata, Mammalia, Rodentia, Cricetidae.
GUGCGGGCGUCGGGUAAAACCGCUGACUUUUCUGCGAGCUCCUCCUCGCCCUUCCCGGAUCUGGUUUCUCCGACCCAGGAAGGAGCCUUUGUAACCUAACUGUGUCCCCAUUUAAAGUGCUCGCCCUCGCCCCACCCCCAAGGAGAGAAGAAAAGUCUGCAGGGAAAUAAUUGCGCCCUGCAGAGAGACCGGAGCUCGCGGGGACCCGAAGGCCGGCGUGGGGGAGGGGCGCCCCGGUCCGGGUCGCUCCGCACCCCACCCUCCCUACUGUGCGUGGCCGGGGCCCCCGAGCCUCGGGUGAUCGGCCGCCUUCAGAAGGCCCUGCUGCUAGGCACGGGGGCGCGCGCCGGCUUCUCUCCCUCCGUAAGCCGGUUUAGAAUCCUGGGGAUCAGCAUCUCGGGAUCCCUAAAAGUGAGGCGUGAGUAUUUGUGUCUCCGAUGCCCUCACGCGCCCCCCCCCCGCUCCCCCUUUCUGUGCCGCUUCCCUGAGCGGCUCCCCGGGUGUGAAAGGCCUCGGCUCCUCGCUGUCUCGCUCCCACCCCCGCGUCCUUUCUAACCCCAGCGUUCACUUAAGUCUAGUGGCCUCUUUCCCCUCCUUCUCUCAAUACUGUUUCAAAAUAGCUGUUACAGCAAAUAGCCGCCGAUGCGCCUCUGGAUGCCGCCAGGAGCUGGCAGCUGCCCAGCGCGGGCGCACAGCCCCCGGGCAGUUCCACCAGACCAAAAUAAGCUCCCGUGUUCCUCUCGCAGGGCUCGGCCUCCCGGGCGGGCCCGGGCAUGUUUGGCGGGGCUCGCUAUCAGCUCACAGCAAACCAUCCUGGUUUCCUACUUGACUUCCUGCUGUCCGAAACCACAAGUGUUUUUAAUUUUAGAAGACCAUGGCGUGAGGGUCCCCGAGUAGCCACGCUUCUCGGCCUCCCUGAUGCUGCGACCCUUUAACGCGGUUCUUCACGUUGUGACUCCCCAGCCAUAAAAUUAUCGUUGCUGCCUUGGAACUGUAAUUGUGCUACUGUUAUGAAUCGUAAUGUAUAGCCCCAAAGUAAGAUUGGCUUCAAGUCCUCCAAGACACCUGCUUCCACUGCUGGAUGCACCAGACCUGGUUUUGAAGGAAGUACAGUGGCCACAGGAUUACAGAUUUCAGCUGUGUGCAAAUGUGUUCACACAGGUCGAACGGCGGCGGGGUAUGUCUGGAGUGACUCUCAGGAGCCAGAUUUCUGCUGCCUGGUCUCACAGUGUCAGGGAAACCAGAGGAGGCUCCUGCCUCUGCUAGGCCCUAGAAAGACAUGCAGGCUGAGUGUCAGGAACUCCUCCGACCCAGCUUUGCUGAACUCUAGGCCCAGGGUUUGCAGGAUCCACAGCCACCAGCCCCUGGCCACCUCAGUUCCGGCUCCUCACCACCCCAGCCCUGUCAGCAGGCAAUCUCCUACUCUCUUCCUUUCAAGCUCCCACACUGUGAAAAGUCCAGUUAGCCAGACUUCCCCCCCACAGAGAGAGCCUGGUUGGGUCACUUCCCUUGUUCUGGAGCUUUCUCUACCCCCAGCUCCCUGGUGGUAGUCCCGCUUUCGGAGUAGGACUUUACACCCAGCAGAAGAACCCCGGAAGGUUUCUAUCAGUUAUAUGACACAUACACUGUGCACCUUCUCCGUAAUUUCUGUGGAGGAUUGAGUCCUUAGUCUAGUUACCUGCAGUAUUUAUAAACCAAAUAAAAUUUCCUUCCAAGUUCCCAACUGAGUCAGGUCCUGUGGCAAAGCUCUGUCUCUAGCCUGGAGACAACUGGACCACCUGACUGCCGGCUGGAGUGUGGUGUGGCCACCGCCUCUUUUGUUAACAGGACAGUUGAUCCAUUAAAUUAAAAAUCAGUCAAUAGAUCCAUUUUUUCCUAACGUGUGUGAAUACACAUUCCACCCUAAUUCUCAGACAUCAAUGCCAGCGGAGGUAGGGAACUACCAAGGGACGUUUCCACAAGUGGCCCCAAUAGGAAACUACCGGAAUAACCUCAUCACCAGAAUCCAGGAUAGCCAGAGGAACCUGGCUAGGGGCCAUCACUAAACCCCCAGUUCCCCCAACUCACUUUCUAGCAUGCCCCACUUGGGCAGACGCUGAAAUGCGGGGAUGCAGACAGAGCUGUGGGUCAGCCCCAGUGGCACUGGGGAUCCGGCAUGAGGCCCCUUGCGGCUUCUCUCUGCGCGCUGAACGCGCAGACACAAUUGGGGGGGACGGGGUAGUCUUCUUCCCACCGGGUUUUUAAGUAGCAGGAUUUUCAGAUGCAAACAAACAAACAAAAAGCCUCCUGAGGUGGGCGGUAAAAAAAAAAAAAAAAAAUCAAAGCCUCUACAUCCGAGCCAGAAACAAAAGCUCUUUGGAAGUGCCGCGGCGGGCGGGCGGAGUGCAUCUCGGAUCCCGAGGAGGAGCCGCCCGGACCCGCAUCCGGAGAAGGAGCCGGCGGGUGUCCCCACCUGCUCGCCGGCCGCUCAGUCCUGUCCCCGAGAGGAGGAAGGCGGCCAGAGGCACCACAACCACAAAUUUAUGGCCUGGGUGACGUGCUUUCCUCUCCCACAAUGGGGCCUGGUGACAUUAAACAGAAAAUUGAUGAGA